AGCUUCAGUAGCGUAUAUUAAAGUUGUUGCAGUUAAAAAGCUCGUAGUCGCAUUUCUGGCGAGAGGAUCCGGUCCGACCUUUUGGUGGGUUCUUGGGUCUCUUUCGCCAUCCUUGAGUGGUCCGUUCUGGCAUUAGGUUGUCGGAGCGUCAGCCGCUCAUCGUUUACUGUGAGAAAAUUAGAGUGUUCAAAGCAGGCUUAUGCCGUUGAAUAUAUUAGCAUGGAAUAAUAAGAUAGGACCUCGGUACUAUUUUGUUGUUUUGCGCGCCAAGGUAAUGAUGAACAGGGACAGUUGGGGGUAUUUGUAUUUCGUUGUCAGAGGUGAAAUUCUUAGAUUUACGAAAGACAAACUACUGCGAAAGCAUUUACCAAGGAUGUUUUCA
Molecule: ribosomal RNA, 382 nt
Filed under: uncultured marine Chaetocerotaceae
Lineage: Eukaryota; Bacillariophyta; Thalassiosirophyceae; Chaetocerotales; Chaetocerotaceae
Description: SSU rRNA
Rfam family: Eukaryotic small subunit ribosomal RNA
Source: RNAcentral